CAUCGCUCUAAUCACUUAUGUAAUAACCUUCCUUUUGAAUGCCGCCGGUUGUAACCUUUAUAGCGAUAGCGAGUCAAAAAAAUAUCUUUCGAUCAGAAAAGAAAGAGCUUUCCCCUUUUCUCUACUACUCCCGUCAAACAAUAGACCUAAGACCCCUUUGCUGCAGGGAAAAGGUAAGGAAGAACCAAAGUAGUUAACCGAGUCGUGGGCGGCAAUGCUUGGGCAAGAGAGUCAAUCCGUGUUUAGUAGAGUGCCUUCUGAUCCUGCGAUUGAGGAUAAAGAAAAGAGUCCGAGUUCUACUAAUACUAAUAAGAAUAACCACCUUGCUUUCUGGGGCUUCCAUUACUUGCUUCAAUUGCAUUGAUUUAUCCUUUCUGGCCUCAGACUUGUGCCUAAUCUUCUAAAGAUCAACCGCGAGUCAAAGAACUCCUCUUUCGUAGUACACUUCUUUUAUUGAAUUGACUGUAAAAGGUGUGAUGGUCUCGCCAAUGAAUUUCCUCGUUAACAGCAGGAUCUUUUCCACUUCUUGCUGAAUACCUUUUCUUGCUUCCUCCAAUAGGCAAUAGGCCAUCCUCUCCUAAGGAAGUAGUUCAAUGAAGGCAUCGAGUGAUUUCACCCCGGCUCAUCCAUCGCUCGGGAUGGAGGUUGCUUUUUCUUGGCUGUAAGCUGCUUUCUUAGUUGUAGAAAUCCAUCACUAGUCUUUCACAACGAAUAGACACCAACCAUCAUAUGUG
Molecule: unclassified non-coding RNA, 734 nt
Filed under: Hevea brasiliensis (rubber tree)
Lineage: Eukaryota; Viridiplantae; Streptophyta; Magnoliopsida; Malpighiales; Euphorbiaceae
Source: RNAcentral